UCCCUCUCUUCAACACUGCAGUGCAUAAAAGAAGGCGAGGAGGCAAGGGCAGUCAUCUUGCUCCAGGCACAGUCAACAGAGCUGUGACAACGUCCCAGUCUGGUGUUCAAUUCAUUCGUCAAAAAAAGCACCAUGUUCGUGUUGCCGAAGGUUGUGGUUGUGGGUGUGGUCUGUGUCUUGGUGGUACUCCAAGCACAGCUCUCUCAGUCCAAGGGCGCUUUAAAAUGCCCUAAGGUUAUGGCACCAGAAGAAGAAGUGAUGGUUGAGAUUCCAUGCAAAGGACAAACCCAUGGCUGCAAACACUUCUGUGAAGCUAAAUGCGACGCCUACAUUUUCACCUGUGAGAACGGUCACCUGGAGGCAAACAUGCAGGAUGUCGAACUGGACUGCUCUUUAGAAAAGCUGGUGGUAAAAGAAGGAGGAGAACCCAAAGAAGAUUUCUGCGGUCCGAUGAACGAUAUUGUCUCUGACGGAGAGAAGCUAGUCAUCCGAUACAAAAAAUUAGGACAAGCCAGUAUGUUUAAGGAUGGGAAAUGCACAGGUAGAAAAAGGUGUGAUUGUUUCUACACAGUGAAAUGUGUGGUUGAGACCACAACAGCUUCUUCUACUACUACAACUAAUGCUACUACUACUAGUGCUAUUAUUACUAGUGCUACUCCCUAAGUCGACACUGUGGAUUACGGGGACAGAAUGAUGAUGAUGACUAUAAUCUUAUUACCAAACCACACCCUUGCACGUUAACGCACCAGCACAAAUAAAAGACUACCAGCAUGAAAA
Portunus trituberculatus (swimming crab) is the source of this 777-nucleotide long non-coding RNA. RefSeq lists it as uncharacterized. The transcript has 4 exons. The record is from RefSeq and is a predicted model, not a curated record. Lineage: Eukaryota; Metazoa; Arthropoda; Malacostraca; Decapoda; Portunidae.